Amphibalanus amphitrite is the source of this 1578-nucleotide long non-coding RNA. RefSeq lists it as uncharacterized. Lineage: Eukaryota; Metazoa; Arthropoda; Thecostraca; Balanomorpha; Balanidae. The transcript is spliced from 4 exons. The record is from RefSeq and is a predicted model, not a curated record.
GACGUUGCCUAGCAACCAAGGCUCAAAUGAAAAAGUCAGAAUUCAGAUGCCUAGCAACUCGCUAAAAACGUGUGGCAGCUUCCGCUUACGAACAGAGGUCAAGAGCACAAAGCGAACGCUUGGGAAGCCAUAAAUGUGCCUAUUGAAUGCUAUGUUUUCCUCCUUGUCCUGUGGAAACUGGAAAGAUUGAAAAGUGAUAAUUUCUUUUCUUGUGAUUUGCAUAUUGCAUUCAGGCUGGAAUUUGUUAUGACAUUCAUGAUCAGUGAUAUGGCGAGCCUGAGCCCUCCAGUCAUCACAGCUGCAACAACUAAGGUUCUGCCAUGGCUAAGAUUUGAGAAAAAAUACCUUCAUACUCUGAAUGGUGCUUUGAAGAUGCUGCAAAUUUUUGUUGCUUUAUGUGGAUUUCUCUGCAUCACAUUCUCCAACUUGAGUCUUCAUCCAAGAGCUACAUGGUACUACUUUGUCUGCCUGGUUAGUUUUUGGACAUCACUUCUGUUGCUGCUCUGCUAUGCCUUCCAUGUUGUGGAGAAGCUACACUUUUUACCUUGGCUGGGAAUGGAGCUGUUUUUCAGUAGCUGCUGGAGUGUGCUCUACCUAACUGCUGCUGCUCUCGCCACUUCAUUUGGGCACCUGCAGGCCACAUGGGUGGCUGCCACAAUAUUCGCCUGCCUGGGGAUGUCGUCCCACGCCUGGGAGGCCGUGCUGAAGCUGCGUGAUGUCCGCCGUGGGAAGAUAGCCCAGGGCCACAGGUCGAUCACUGCCUCCAGCGACAGGCUCCACAAGUACUAGCUAGGUCUCCACGAUCUCUCCACGAUCUCAGCUACCAAGUGUUGUUCGAUGUUUAUUAUGACUCCCGAGACCUGACGUAUCUAUGGACCGCCGUGUAGGGACUUUGUUGUCAGUUGAUGUCCAGCUUCCAGUUACCAAAGUGCAGUGUGUCAGUGCUGUGCCGACGCGAUGUAUUGAUUACUUACCUACCCGUCUUGUUAGCAUUGAGUGAAACACUGGCCAAUUUUUAUCUAUCUUGUGUUAUAAAAUGUCGGUAAAUUGUCAUGCUACCCCACUCCAUGGAUUAUUGGUACCAUGCGCUGCGUAGCGCAUGGUACUCAUAGCAUUUUGCGGGCAGUGUCACGUACAACUAGGGUAUGCGAUUCGCGAUAUAGUUCUUUCUCUCACCGUCCACGUUUUUUUUUUUCUGGUAGUAUACAUACGUAGUUGACCAAGUGUAAUAUGUUCGUUCAGUGCGAUUGUGAGACCCACGUUCUACAAUCCAAUUGAAUCUGAUAUCCAUGCAUGUAUCGUAUAUGCGUAUCGUUUUGAUAUUCCAUUGAUUUCGAACCAAGGCUGAAGAGACUCGACUCGAGUCAUUGAUAGUGUUCAAACAGGGAUGAGUGGGAUUUGAUAGUUUGAUAUCUCGGCUUUUUGUUCAUAUGUACAUAACUAUGUUGAGAUCUCCAUCGCAGACCAAUGAGCACCUGUACUUGCCAUUAGCUGAUAGCGAGAUUGCACCGCACUGUGAUAUAUACGCCUGAUAUACCUAACUAUACGUUAUGAAAUACACCGUCCACAUCAACGGUU